RNAcentral lists this ribosomal RNA (252 nucleotides) under uncultured bacterium. RNAcentral describes it as "partial 16S ribosomal RNA". It matches the Rfam family "Bacterial small subunit ribosomal RNA", at positions 524 to 776 of the family's 1533-position model. The record is from RNAcentral.
UACGAAGGGGGCUAGCGUUGUUCGGAUUUACUGGGCGUAAAGCGCACGUAGGCGGAUCGUUAAGUCGGGGGUGAAAUCCUGGAGCUCAACUCCAGAACUGCCUUCGAUACUGGCGAUCUCGAGUCCGGAAGAGGUGAGUGGAACUCCUAGUGUAGAGGUGGAAUUCGUAGAUAUUAGGAAGAACACCAGUGGCGAAGGCGGCUCACUGGUCCGGUACUGACGCUGAGGUGCGAAAGCGUGGGGAGAAACAGG